CAGGCACCCACAUACUCACGUAGCCCACCCAUUGGUUCAGGCCGUGACGUUGGAAUUCCACUACAGUAUUGAAUUAUUUUUGGCUGUAUUUGCUGACUUUUUAGGCAACCAUUUGUUCCAGAGGAACUCACUUUAUUACUUUAUUUCCCUUUGGCAAGAUAAUAAUUAUCUGAAAUGGAAAUAACUGAAUUCCUUUGGUGAAGUGCCAAUGAAAACUAUACCCAGACUUCCAGAAGAACUGAAUACGAUGAAACCCAUUGACUUAUAGUGGACUCGUGGUAUUUGUAAGCACGCUGUGGCAAAGCACCACAAUGUUUCAGGAGGCUUGAGAGGUGCACUUCUAACAUCUCCUUGAUCAGGCAGAG
Long non-coding RNA from Gallus gallus (chicken), 365 nucleotides. The record is from Ensembl. NCBI's taxonomy places the organism in Eukaryota, Metazoa, Chordata, Aves, Galliformes, Phasianidae.